GGGCGGUUAGCUCAGCUGGGAGAGCACCUCGUUUACACCGAGGGGGUCGGCGGUUCGAUCCCGUCACCGCCCACCA
This 76-nucleotide transfer RNA is filed under the name Rhodospirillaceae bacterium. Its description in RNAcentral is "tRNA-Val". It matches the Rfam family "tRNA". Rfam says of the family: Transfer RNA (tRNA) molecules are approximately 80 nucleotides in length. Their secondary structure includes four short double-helical elements and three loops (D, anti-codon, and T loops). Further hydrogen bonds mediate the characteristic L-shaped molecular structure. tRNAs have two regions of fundamental functional importance: the anti-codon, which is responsible for specific mRNA codon recognition, and the 3' end, to which the tRNAs corresponding amino acid is attached (by aminoacyl-tRNA synthetases). tRNAs cope with the degeneracy of the genetic code in two manners: having more than one tRNA (with a specific anti-codon) for a particular amino acid; and 'wobble' base-pairing, i.e. permitting non-standard base-pairing at the 3rd anti-codon position. Lineage: Bacteria; Pseudomonadati; Pseudomonadota; Alphaproteobacteria; Rhodospirillales; Rhodospirillaceae. The record is from RNAcentral. RNAcentral also lists the same sequence under 3 other names.